AAGGAUGCAAUGGAGAACAUUUACAGAGGACUGUGGGUAAAGCAAAGUCUUCAAGGGAAGAUAACAAAGGAUGAAACAAUGGUGUUGUGUGACUUCCUAGUAAAAUCUACUGGUGGAGUCACUCCAUUAUUCUUAUCUGUGGAGAUCUAGAUCUUGAUUUGAAAGUUUCUGAGAAAAUCUUCAGCUCAGACUUGAGGGUCAACUUUACCAGCUGAAGGAUCUGCAUUUACUGCUCAACCACAUCUAAUUUGAUGUCCUCUGCAGAUUUAAAAUGUGUGCCUUCUUUUCCGUCACCAAGUCAUCCCUGGGUUACUACUGAACAUCCUUCUCAAUUCCCCCCGACCCAUGGAUGGCUGUUCUCCAUUGUCUGUUUCACCAGAUGUCCUCAAAACAAACAGACAGAAGAAGGAAGUGGCUAAUGGAAGUUGAAGAUUUGUCCAGGAGCAGAUAGCUGAAGAGAGAGAGAGAGAAGAGAGAACGGCUUACAGCUCAGGUCCUCUCUCCAUGCUUAGGAACCACUACAAAUGCUACUGCCUUGAGUCUCAUUUUGUUUCCCUCUGGAAACCACAUGUGUACCUUGUUUGCAACAGUAUGGUUCUGGAGACCAGAAGGCCAAAAUCAAAAGUAUGGGCAGGCUUGAUUUCUUUAGAAGACUCCAGCGGAGAACUGUGUCUCCUUGCUUCUGAUUCUACAUCUCCAUCCAUGGGCCACUGUUUCAGCAACCUCAGCCAGUGCAACACAACCUCAGCCAAGAAGAGUAUGCAGAGAAAGGAGUCCCCUACCUGCCACAAAACUGUUGUCUGAAAACUGUCUCA
RNAcentral lists this long non-coding RNA (815 nucleotides) under Homo sapiens (human). Its description in RNAcentral is "cancer susceptibility 15". Lineage: Eukaryota; Metazoa; Chordata; Mammalia; Primates; Hominidae. The record is from RNAcentral.